Molecule: unclassified non-coding RNA, 183 nt
Filed under: uncultured Trichoderma
Lineage: Eukaryota; Fungi; Ascomycota; Sordariomycetes; Hypocreales; Hypocreaceae
Description: sequence contains ITS1
Source: RNAcentral
CCGAGUUUACAACUCCCAAACCCAAUGUGAACGCUACCAAACUGUUGCCUCGGCGGGGUCGCGCCCCGGGUGCGUAGAAGCCCCGGAACCAGGCGCCCGCCGGAGGAACCAACCAAACUCUUCCUGUGGUCCCCUCGCGGACGUUAUUUCUCACAGCUCUGAGCAAAAAUUCAAAAUGAAUCA